RNAcentral lists this non-coding RNA (958 nucleotides) under Gila robusta (Pahranagat roundtail chub). RNAcentral's name for it is "12S ribosomal RNA". It matches the Rfam family "Bacterial small subunit ribosomal RNA". The record is from RNAcentral. Lineage: Eukaryota; Metazoa; Chordata; Actinopteri; Cypriniformes; Leuciscidae.
UAAAGGCAUGGUCCUGACCUUAUUAUCAGCUCUAACCCAACUUACACAUGCAAGUCUCCGCAGUCCUGUGAGUACGCCCUUAAUCCCCUGCCCGGGGACGAGGAGCGGGCAUCAGGCACAAAUUUUUAGCCCAAGACGCCUGGCCAAGCCACACCCCCAAGGGAAUUCAGCAGUGAUAAAUAUUAAGCCAUGAGUGAAAACUUGACUCAGUCAGGGUUAAUGAGGGCCGGUAAAACUCGUGCCAGCCACCGCGGUUAAACGAGAGGCCCUAGUUGAUAGUACAACGGCGUAAAGGGUGGUUAAGGAGAGCACGCAAUAAAGCCAAAUGGCCCUUUGGCUGUCAUACGCUUCUAGGUGUCCGAAGCCCGAUAUACGAAAGUAGCUUUAGAAAAGCCCACCUGACACCACGAAAGCUGAGAAACAAACUGGGAUUAGAUACCCCACUAUGCUCAGCCAUAAACCUAGAUGUCCAACUACAAUUAGCCAUCCGCCCGGGUACUACGAGCAUUAGCUUGAAACCCAAAGGACCUGACGGUGCCUUAGACCCCCCUAGAGGAGCCUGUUCUAGAACCGAUAACCCUCGUUAAACCUCACCACUUCUAGCCAUCCCAGCCUAUAUACCGCCGUCGUCAGCUUACCCUGUGAAGGCAAUAAAAGUAAGCAAAAUGGGCACAACCCAGAACGUCAGGUCGAGGUGUAGCGUACGAAGCGGGAAGAAAUGGGCUACAUUUUCUAUCAUAGAACACUACGGACAUGCAACAUGAAAUAGUGCUUGAAGGAGGAUUUAGUAGUAAAAAGGAAACAGAGUGUCCUUUUGAACCCGGCUCUGAGGCGCGUACACACCGCCCGUCACUCUCCCCUGUCAAAAUGCAAUAAAGAUACUUAACACCAAAGCGCUGACAAGGGGAGGCAAGUCGUAACAUGGUAAGUGUACCGGAAGGUGCACUUGGAUUAAAUU